CCCUACGGGGGGCAGCAGUAGGGAAUUUUCGUCAAUGGGCGCGAGCCUGAACGAGCAAUGCCGCGUGAACGAGGAAGGUCUUCGGAUCGUAAAGUUCUGUUGAAGGGGAAAAAGAGCGGAGAGAGGAAAUGCUUUCUGAUUGAUAUUACCCUUCGAGGAAGUCACGGCUAACUACGUGCCAGCAGCAGCGGUAAUACGUAGGUGGCGAGCGUUAUCCGGAAUGAUUGGGCGUAAAGGGUGCGUAGGCGGCCUGCUAAGUCUGGAGUGAAAGGUACCGGCUCAACCGGUACAGGCUCUGGAAACUG
This 305-nucleotide ribosomal RNA is filed under the name uncultured bacterium. RNAcentral describes it as "bacterial SSU rRNA". It matches the Rfam family "Bacterial small subunit ribosomal RNA", at positions 337 to 635 of the family's 1533-position model. The record is from RNAcentral.